GGUUUGGGACAUAGUUCAGGGGAAAGGCAGCAAGGGGCAAUCCAGACACUAGGCUCCAUGCCCAGGAGGUAUCUGGCUGAUGCUGUUACUCGCCAUUUGUGACGAGGCCAGGAUUUCCCACAGGCCUUGCAUCUUGGAGGAUGGAGACCAUUUAGGACCACUCAAAGAAGUCUGCCCAGGGGCAUGGAGCAGCUGGGCGACUGAGCUGGGCAUCUGACCAGAGACCAGCGUAGGGGUAUGCUAAAGGAGAGAUAAGAGUCCUAACACCAGAGGUCAGCACCAGAUCCCUAACUAGCAGUCGCUAUAGCCUGGGGUCUUUUAGGACCUCGUGUUUUUCUUUCUUUUUUUAAAAAAAUUUUAUUGAACUAUUUACAAUAUUGUGUUAAUUUCUGGUGUACAGCAAAGUGACUCAUAUAUAUAUGUCUCUAUAUAUAUAUAUUUCCAUUAUGGUUUAUCACAGGAUAUUGCUUUUAAUCCUCUGUGCUAUAUGUAAGUAGGACCUUGUUGCUUAUCCAUUUUGUAUAUAAUAGAUUGUAUCUACUAAACCCAGACUUUCAAUCCUUCCCUCCCAAACCCUCCUCUUCCUUGGCAACCCCAAGCCCUUCUUUAUGUCUGUGAGCCUGCUUCUGUUUUAUAGAUAUGUGCAUUUGUAGGAACUCAUCCUUUGAUUCUGCAGGUAGGAAAGUGCCCUGGCUCAGCUGACAGCACAGUAAGAUCUGUGUUCUUGCUAUCUGCAUACGUGCACAGCUGCACGAAUGUGCGCAUACAGACACAGACAAUGAUGUCAGCCAGGGGUGCAAUGAGCAAUGCAGGCAGUCAAGGCUGGGAACAGCCAUCCCUGCACAGAGGAGGUAGGUACAGAGGCAACAGAGAGAGAGAGAGGCAUUCCAGGUUCAGGGAAUGGCAGCAGUGGAGGCCGUUUGUUUAUUUACUAAGUCCUAUCUGACUCUUCUGCAACCCUAUGGACUGUAGCUCACGAGGCUCCUCUGUCCAUGGGAUUUCCCAGGCAAGAUUACUGGAGUGGGUUGNNNNNNNNNNNNNNNUGGAGUGGGUUACCAUUUCCUUCUCCAGGGGAUCUUCCUGGCCCAGGGAUCAAACCCGUGUCUCCUGCAUUGGCAGGCGGAUUCUUUACCAGCAGAGCCACCAUCAGACCUGCUCUAAAUUGGGCUCAUACUUUAAGUAACCUAAAGUCAUGAAAAUUAAC
This 1204-nucleotide long non-coding RNA is filed under the name Capra hircus (goat). RNAcentral's name for it is "lncRNA (ENSCHIG00010012908.1)". Lineage: Eukaryota; Metazoa; Chordata; Mammalia; Artiodactyla; Bovidae. The record is from RNAcentral.